RNAcentral lists this ribosomal RNA (468 nucleotides) under uncultured bacterium. RNAcentral's name for it is "partial 16S ribosomal RNA". It matches the Rfam family "Bacterial small subunit ribosomal RNA", at positions 28 to 507 of the family's 1533-position model. The record is from RNAcentral.
GACGAACGCUGGCGGCGUGCUUAACACAUGCAAGUCGAACGGAAAGGCCCUGCCUUUGUGGGGUGCUCGAGUGGCGAACGGGUGAGUAACACGUGAGUAACCUGCCCUUGACUUUGGGAUAACUUCAGGAAACUGGGGCUAAUACCGGAUAGGAGCUCCUGCUGCAUGGUGGGGGUUGGAAAGUUUCGGCGGUUGGGGAUGGACUCGCGGCUUAUCAGCUUGUUGGUGGGGUAGUGGCUUACCAAGGCUUUGACGGGUAGCCGGCCUGAGAGGGUGACCGGCCACAGUGGGACUGAGAUACGGCCCAGACUCCAACGGGAGGCAGCAGUGGGGAAUAUUGCACAAUGGGCGGAAGCCUGAUGCAGCAACGCCGCGUGCGGGAUGACGGCCUUCGGGUUGUAAACCGCUUUCGCCUGGGACGAAGCGUGAGUGACGGUAAUGGGUAAAGAAGCACCGGCUAACUACGUG